CAGCACCUCAAGUGGUCAGGAUGAUUAUUGGGCCUAAAGCAUCCGUAGCCGGCGCUGUAAGUUUUCGGUUAAAUCUGUAUGCUCAACAUACAGGCUGCCGGGAAUACUGCAGAGCUAGGGAGUGGGAGAGGUAGACGGUACUCGGUAGGAAGGGGUAAAAUCCUUUGAUCUAUUGAUGACCACCUGUGGCGAAGGCGGUCUACCAGAACACGUCUGACGGUGAGGGACGAAACCCUGGGGCGCGAACCGGAUUAGAUACCCGAGUAGUCC
RNAcentral lists this ribosomal RNA (270 nucleotides) under uncultured archaeon. Its description in RNAcentral is "partial 16S ribosomal RNA". It matches the Rfam family "Archaeal small subunit ribosomal RNA", at positions 477 to 747 of the family's 1478-position model. The record is from RNAcentral.